Molecule: non-coding RNA, 86 nt
Filed under: human gut metagenome
Description: NiCo riboswitch
Rfam family: NiCo (Nickel/Cobalt) riboswitch aptamer
Source: RNAcentral
ACAGUACAUACUGAGCAGGCAAUGAACACAUCGUUCAUCUUGCCGGGCCGUUUUGGCAACAGAUCAUACUACAUCUGUGGGACAGU